Molecule: long non-coding RNA, 457 nt
Filed under: Helianthus annuus (common sunflower)
Lineage: Eukaryota; Viridiplantae; Streptophyta; Magnoliopsida; Asterales; Asteraceae
Description: sRNA HanXRQr2_Chr17g0797581
Source: RNAcentral
UUCUAAAACCAAUGGGAACGCUACAAUACUGAAAACCUCGAGCUCUCAAUAUUCAUUUGGGUGUUGUUAAUAGUUGUUUCCGGAGCACGAGUAAGGAUGUUUUAUAUCAACUUAUCAUGUCACUUUGACCCCCUCGAGAGUUUUUGGCUUGACGAUAUAAAUUCGUGUUAGUCGGGUCGCGUAUAAUACGUUAUGAUUGUACGAUAUAAAUUCAUUUUACGUUACGUUUUGAUCAGAUCGCAAUACAACUAUAGGAUACAUUGAGUUCAAUCGAAUACAUCAAAACGUGCGUUUUCAUAUGGUUAAAACAUCACAUAACGCUUGAAAUAAUCCGUUCGAUAUUUGCGAAAUACCCGCGCCGCAACGCGCGCGAUUCUUAUUACUAGUUUUAACAUAAAGCAACAUGUGAAGCAUACAGCUGGCAAGAAUAUUAGCAUAAAAAUUUAUUCCUUCGUAG